Molecule: ribosomal RNA, 433 nt
Filed under: uncultured bacterium
Lineage: Bacteria
Description: partial 16S ribosomal RNA
Rfam family: Bacterial small subunit ribosomal RNA
Source: RNAcentral
AACGAACGCUGGCGGCAUGCCUAACACAUGCAAGUCGAACGAGACCUUCGGGUCUAGUGGCGCACGGGUGCGUCACGCGUGGGAACCUGCCUUUAGGUUCGGAAUAACUCCCCGCAAGGGGUGCUAAUACCGGAUAAUUUCUUCGGACCAAAGAUUUAUCGCCUUUGGAUGGGCCCGCGUUGGAUUAGCUAGUUGGUAGGGUAAAAGCCUACCAAGGCGACGAUCCAUAGCUGGUCUGAGAGGAUGAUCAGCCACACUGGGACUGGGACACGGCCCAGACUCCUACGGGAGGCAGCAGUGGGGAAUAUUGGACAACGGGCGAAAGCCUGAUCCAGCAAUGCCGCGUGAGUGAUGAAGGCCUUAGGGUUGUAAAGCUCUUUUACCCGGGAUGAUAAUGACAGUACCGGGAGAAUAAGCGCCGGCUAACUCCGUG